This 492-nucleotide ribosomal RNA is filed under the name uncultured bacterium. RNAcentral describes it as "partial 16S ribosomal RNA". It matches the Rfam family "Bacterial small subunit ribosomal RNA", at positions 29 to 507 of the family's 1533-position model. The record is from RNAcentral.
AGUGAACGCUGGCGGUAGGCCUAACACAUGCAAGUCGAACGGCAGCACAGUAAGAGCUUGCUCUUACGGGUGGCGAGUGGCGGACGGGUGAGGAAUACAUCGGAAUCUACUUUUUCGUGGGGGAUAACGUAGGGAAACUUACGCUAAUACCGCAUACGACCUACGGGUGAAAGCAGGGGAUCUUCGGACCUUGCGCGAUUGAAUGAGCCGAUGUCGGAGUAGCUAGUUGGCGGGGUAAAGGCCCACCAAGGCGACGAUCCGUAGCUGGUCUGAGAGGAUGAUCGGCCACACUGGAACUGAGACACGGUCCAGACUCCUACGGGAGGCAGCAGUGUGGAAUAUGGGACAAUGGGCGCAAGCCUGAUCCAGCCAUACCGCGUGGGUGAAGAAGGCCUUCGGGUUGUAAAGCCCUUUUGUUGGGAAAGAAAAGCAGCAGGUUAAUACCCCGCUGUUCUGACGGUACCCAAAGAAUAAGCACCGGCUAACUUCGUG